RNAcentral lists this non-coding RNA (101 nucleotides) under Fodinibius roseus. RNAcentral's name for it is "Aliifodinibius roseus TPP sequence". It matches the Rfam family "TPP riboswitch aptamer (THI element)". Rfam says of the family: Vitamin B(1) in its active form thiamin pyrophosphate (TPP) is an essential coenzyme that is synthesised by coupling of pyrimidine and thiazole moieties in bacteria. The previously detected thiamin-regulatory element, thi box was extended, resulting in a new, highly conserved RNA secondary structure, the THI element, which is widely distributed in eubacteria and also occurs in some archaea. Lineage: Bacteria; Pseudomonadati; Balneolota; Balneolia; Balneolales; Balneolaceae. The record is from Rfam by way of RNAcentral.
GCCAGCGGUUGGGGGUGUCCCAAACAAGAGUUGGGACUGAGAUCAGACCCCUCGAACUUGAUCCGGACCAUGCCGGCGAAAGGAAACCAACGGCUUCAUUA